Molecule: ribosomal RNA, 656 nt
Filed under: uncultured Legionella sp.
Lineage: Bacteria; Pseudomonadati; Pseudomonadota; Gammaproteobacteria; Legionellales; Legionellaceae
Description: bacterial SSU rRNA
Rfam family: Bacterial small subunit ribosomal RNA
Source: RNAcentral
AAGAUUAGCCUGCGUCCGAUUAGCUAGUUGGUGGGGUAAGGGCCUACCAAGGCGACGAUCGGUAGCUGGUCUGAGAGGAUGACCAGCCACACUGGAACUGAGACACGGUCCAGACUCCUACGGGAGGCAGCAGUGGGGAAUAUUGGACAAUGGGGGCAACCCUGAUCCAGCAAUGCCGCGUGUGUGAAGAAGGCCUGAGGGUUGUAAAGCACUUUCAGUGGGGAGGAGGGUUGAUAGGUUAAGAGCUGAUUAACUGGACGUUACCCACAGAAGAAGCACCGGCUAACUCCGUGCCAGCAGCCGCGGUAAUACGGAGGGUGCGAGCGUUAAUCGGAAUUACUGGGCGUAAAGGGUGCGUAGGUGGUUGAUUAAGUUAUCUGUGAAAUUCCUGGGCUUAACCUGGGACGGUCAGAUAAUACUGGUUGACUCGAGUAUGGGAGAGGGUAGUGGAAUUUCCGGUGUAGCGGUGAAAUGCGUAGAGAUCGGAAGGAACACCAGUGGCGAAGGCGGCUAUCUGGCCUAAUACUGACACUGAGGCACGAAAGCGUGGGGAGCAAACAGGAUUAGAUACCCUGGUAGUCCACGCUGUAAACGAUGUCAACUAGCUGUUGGUUAUAUGAAAAUAAUUAGUGGCGCAGCAAACGCGAUAAGUUGAC